CCGCGGUGGCGCAUGCGCAAGAUAAGUGCACCUGCAAGUGGCGUCACCGUUGGACAUGCUGGGGCUGGGCGGUCUUUGGCUCUUGUGGCGACGACCUCCUGCCGCGGGGGUCCCAGCAAAGAGCCUCCGCCUCAGGAAGGUCGCCUCCGGCGUCUCUCCGGGCAGCACCUCGCCCAGAGCCUUAAAUAUCUUCGACCGGGAUCUGAAGAGGAAACAGAAAAACUGGGCGGCCCGGCAGCCUGAGCCGAUGAAGUUUGACUACCUGAAGGAGGAGGUUGGAAGUCAGAUUGCAGACCGUGUGUACGACAUAGCCAGAAAUUUUUCCCUUGCUUUGGAUGUUGGUUGUGGAAGAGGUUACAUAGCACAACAUUUGAAUAAGGAGACUGUUGGAAAGUUUUUCCAAGUAGACAUUGCAGAAAAUGCUUUGAAAAAUAUCUUAGAAAUGGAAAUUCCUACUGUCAGUGUUUUAGCUGAUGAAGAGUUCCUUCCCUUCAGAGAAAAUACAUUUGACCUGGUGGUUAGCAGUUUAAGUUUACACUGGGUGAAUGACCUUCCUAGAGCGCUUGAACAGAUUCAUUACGUUUUAAAACCAGAUGGAGUAUUUAUUGGCGCAAUGUUUGGAGGUGACACACUCUAUGAACUUCGGUGUUCGUUACAGUUAGCAGAAACAGAAAGGGAAGGAGGAUUUUCUCCACAUGUUUCUCCUUUCACUGCUCUCAAUGACUUAGGACAUCUGCUUGGGAGAGCUGGCUUUAAUACAAUGACUGUGGAUACUGAUGAAAUUCAAGUUAACUAUCCUGGGAUGUUUGAAUUGAUGGAAGAUUUAAAAGAAAAAAGUCCAGAAUGUUGACCUUAUUUUACAAAACAAGUUGUGUAUCAGCUGAUGAAUGCAUGAAAAGUUUUGGAGGCUUUCACAGUAGUUUUAAGGUAUGGGUGAGAGUAACUGUGCUUGGAAUAGAAAAGCCCUGCUGCACCGAGACACGAUGCUGGCGGCCGCGGCCGUGUACAGAGAAAUGUACAGAAAUGAGGAUGGUUCAGUACCUGCCACAUAUCAGAUCUAUUACAUGAUAGGAUGGAAAUACCAUGAUUCACAGGCAAGACCAGCUGAAAGAGGUUCAGCAACUGUGUCAUUUGGAGAGCUGGGAAAAAUAAACAAUCUUAUGUCACAGGAGAAAAAGUCACAAUAAAUAUUUUAUUCAAUGUUAACGUAGUCCAGAAUUUUCAUCAGAGAUGGAUAACUUUCACAUCUAAAAUUAUUACAUUUUGAAGCAAGAAGCAAUCUAUAAGCAAUGUACUAUCAGACUUGUAGUAAUUAGAAUAACCUAAUCCUACAUCUACAUUUAGUAACCCUUUUGGUUUUACGUCGUUUCUGUUUCCAUAUGGAUACUGUUAUCUGGUGAUUUGAAUGUCUUAUUUACAGAUUCAGCCCAAAAGCAGGAAGAUAUUUCAAUGAAAAAUCCACAAAUAUGUUCACAUUUAUACAUGCCUGACUUGAUGGAAAAACAUUGCCCACACUGACAUUUUGUACCUUUUUCUCCUUCUGAUCUUUUGUUAUUGCCGUGAGAGGGCGAAAGCAAUGGAAAUGAGAGGAAGGACAAAUUGGUAGAGUCUCUAGAGUUCCAGAUCAUUUGGAAUAAAAACAGUUUUUAUAAUGUCUAAGAUACUCAAGCUAAAAUUAUUUGUCACACUGUCAUUUUUGUUGUGAAGACAGUAUAGGCUUGUAUGUCUCCCCAGAGCUAUUACAUAGUUUUAUACUUUAGAAAAGUAUGGAUCUUGGGGCGCCUGGGUGGCUCAGAUCUUGGGGUGCCUGGGUGGCUGAAGCGUCUGCCUUCA
Molecule: non-coding RNA, 1833 nt
Organism: Callorhinus ursinus (northern fur seal)
Lineage: Eukaryota; Metazoa; Chordata; Mammalia; Carnivora; Otariidae
Source: RefSeq, a predicted model, not a curated record